CCUACGGGUGGCAGCAGUAGGGAAUUUUCGUCAAUGGGCGCAAGCCUGAACGAGCAAUGCCGCGUGAACGAGGAAGGUCUUCGGAUCGUAAAGUUCUGUUGAAGGGGAAAAAGAGCGGAGAGAGGAAAUGCUUUCUGAUUGAUAUUACCCUUAGAGGAAGUCUCGGCUAACUACGUGCCAGCAGCCGCGGUAAUACGUAGGUGGCGAGGGUUAUCCGGUAUGAUUGGGCGUAAGGGGUGCGUAGGGGGCCUGCUAAGUCUGGAGGGAAGGGUACCGGCUCAACCGGUACAGGCUCUGGAAACUGGCGGGCUAGAGAGCAGGGGAGGGCGGUGGAACUCGAUGUGUAGCGGUAAAAUGCGUAGAUAUAUGGAAGAACACCAGUGGCGAAGGCGGCCGCCUAGGCUGUUACUGACGCUGAGGCACGAAAGCGUGGGGAGCAAAUAGGAUUAGAUACCCUUGUAGUC
RNAcentral lists this ribosomal RNA (464 nucleotides) under uncultured bacterium. RNAcentral's name for it is "partial 16S ribosomal RNA". It matches the Rfam family "Bacterial small subunit ribosomal RNA", at positions 338 to 795 of the family's 1533-position model. The record is from RNAcentral.